UACCGUUUAUCAUGAGGCCCCUGCUUAUU
RNAcentral lists this non-coding RNA (29 nucleotides) under Rattus norvegicus (Norway rat). Lineage: Eukaryota; Metazoa; Chordata; Mammalia; Rodentia; Muridae. The record is from RNAcentral.